Molecule: ribosomal RNA, 440 nt
Filed under: uncultured bacterium
Lineage: Bacteria
Description: partial 16S ribosomal RNA
Rfam family: Bacterial small subunit ribosomal RNA
Source: RNAcentral
CCUACGGGUGGCAGCAGUAGGGAAUAUUGCUCAAUGGGGGCAACCCUGAAGCAGCAACGCCGCGUGGAGGAUGAAGGUUUUCGGAUUGUAAACUCCUUUUGUUAGAGAAAAUAAUUACGGUAUCUAACCAAUCAUCACCGGCUAACUCCGUUCCAGCAGCCGCGGUAAUACGGAGGGUGCAAGCGUUACUCGGAAUCACUGGGCGUAAAGAGCGCGUAGGCGGGUUAGCAAGUCAGAUGUGAAAUCCUAUGGCUUAACCAUAGAACUGCAUUUGAAACUGUUAUUCUAGAGUAUGGGAGAGGUAGGUGGAAUUCUUGGUGUAGGGGUAAAAUGCGUAGAGAUCAAGAGGAAUACUCAUUGCGAAGGCGACCUGCUAGAACAUAACUGACGCUGAUGCGCGAAAGCGUGGGGAGCAAACAGGAUUAGAUACCCUAGUAGUC